RNAcentral lists this transfer RNA (76 nucleotides) under Candidatus Pacearchaeota archaeon. RNAcentral's name for it is "tRNA-Gly". It matches the Rfam family "tRNA". Rfam says of the family: Transfer RNA (tRNA) molecules are approximately 80 nucleotides in length. Their secondary structure includes four short double-helical elements and three loops (D, anti-codon, and T loops). Lineage: Archaea; Nanobdellati. The record is from RNAcentral.
GCGGGGAUAACUCAAUAGGUAGAGUAUCAGCCUUCCAAGCUGAAUGUUGCGGGUUCGAUUCCCGUUCCCCGCUCCA